GGGGAAUAUUGCACAAUGGGCGAAAGCCUGAUGCAGCAACGCCGCGUGAAGGAAGAAGGGUUUCGGCUCGUAAACUUCUAUCAACAGGGACGAAAAAAAUGACGGUACCUGAAUAAGAAGCCCCGGCUAACUACGUGCCAGCAGCCGCGGUAAUACGUAGGGGGCAAGCGUUAUCCGGAAUUACUGGGCGUAAAGCGCACGUAGGCUGCUUUGUAAGUCAGGGGUGAAAUCCCACGGCUCAACCGUGGAACUGCCUUUGAUACUGCUUAGCUUGAAUCCGGGAGAGGGUGGCGGAAUUCCAGGUGUAGGAGUGAAAUCCGUAGAUAUCUGGAGGAACAUCAGUGGCGAAGGCGGCCACCUGGACCGGUAUUGACGCUGAGGUGCGAAAGCGUGGGGAGCAAACA
Molecule: ribosomal RNA, 404 nt
Filed under: uncultured bacterium
Lineage: Bacteria
Description: bacterial SSU rRNA
Rfam family: Bacterial small subunit ribosomal RNA
Source: RNAcentral